Molecule: ribosomal RNA, 514 nt
Filed under: Chondrodactylus pulitzerae
Lineage: Eukaryota; Metazoa; Chordata; Lepidosauria; Squamata; Gekkonidae
Description: partial large subunit ribosomal RNA
Rfam family: Bacterial large subunit ribosomal RNA
Source: RNAcentral
UAGUUCAACGGCCGCGGUAUCAUAACCGUGCGAAGGUAGCAUAAUCACUUGUCUUCUAAAUAAAGACUAGUAUGAAGGGCUAACUGAGGAUCCAACUGUCUCUUACGGUCAAUCAAUGAAACUGAUCUCUCAGUACAAAAGCUGAGAUAAACCCACAAGACGAGAAGACCCUGUGGACCUUCAAGCCCAAUGUUAACCCACACUAAAAUCUACGGAUUAAACCACAAUACGUAUAACACCAUGGCUUUGAGUUGGGGCGACUAUGGAGAAAAAUCCAACCUCUACGAAACAAGGCUAUUCCCCUGCACAAGGCCCACACGCCUAGUGCCCACAAUAUAUCGACCCAGUACUACUGAUAAUCGAACCAAGCUACCCCAGGGAUAACAGCGCAAUCCUCCUCAAGAGCUCCUAUCGCCAGGGGGGCUUACGACCUCGAUGUUGGAUCAGGACACCCAGGUGGUGAAGCCGCUACUAAGGGUUCGUUUGUUCAACGAUUAAAGUCCUACGUGAUCUG